UUGAAAUCUGGCCCCCUCGGGGUCCGAGUUGUAAUUUGCAGAGGGAGCUUUUGGCGUCGGUCGUGGUCUAAGUUCCUUGGAACAGGACGUCACAGAGGGUGAGAAUCCCGUACGUGGCCGCCGGCCUUCGCCUUGUAAAGCCCCUUCGACGAGUCGAGUUGUUUGGGAAUGCAGCUCUAAAUGGGAGGUAAAUUUCUUCUAAAGCUAAAUACCCGCCAGAGACCGAUAGCGCACAAGUAGAGUGAUCGAAAGAUGAAAAGCACUUUGGAAAGAGAGUGAAAAAGCACGUGAAAUUGUUGAAAGGGAAGCGCUUGCGGCCAGACUUGCCCGCGGUUGAUCAUCCAGGCUCCGGCCUGGUGCACUCCUCCGCGGGCAGGCCAGCAUCAGUUCGGGCGGUCGGAUAAAGGCCUCUAUCACGUACCACCCCUCGGGGUGGCCUUAUAGGGGAGGCGCAACACGGCCAGCCCGGACUGAGGUUCCGCGCAUCUGCUAGGAUGCUGGCGUAAUGGCAGCAAGCGGCCCGUCUUGAAACACGGACCAAGGAGUCUAACAUCUAUGCGAGUGUUUGGGUGUCAAGCCCGAGCGCGCAAUGAAAGUGAACGGAGGUGGGAACCCUUACCGGUGCACCAUCGACCGAUCCUGAUGUCUUCGGAUGGAUUUGAGUAAGAGCAUAGCUGUUGGGACCCGAAAGAUGGUGAACUAUGCCUGAAUAGGGUGAAGCCAGAGGAAACUCUGGUGGAGGCUCGCAGCGGUUCUGACGUGCAAAUCGAUCGUCAAAUUUGGGCAUA
This 788-nucleotide ribosomal RNA is filed under the name Torula longiconidiophora. RNAcentral describes it as "Torula sp. WT-2022b partial large subunit ribosomal RNA". It matches the Rfam family "Eukaryotic large subunit ribosomal RNA", at positions 115 to 919 of the family's 3401-position model. Lineage: Eukaryota; Fungi; Ascomycota; Dothideomycetes; Pleosporales; Torulaceae. The record is from RNAcentral.